CCUACGGGAGGCAGCAGUGAGGAAUAUUGGUCAAUGGUCGGGAGACUGAACCAGCCAAGCCGCGUGAGGGAUGAAGGUACAGAGUAUCGUAAACCUCUUUUGUCAGGGAACAAAGGCGGGGACGUGUGCCCGUAUGAGUGUACCUGAAGAAAAAGCAUCGGCUAACUCCGUGCCAGCAGCCGCGGUAAUACGGAGGAUGCGAGCGUUAUCCGGAUUUAUUGGGUUUAAAGGGUGCGCAGGCGGUAUGUAAAGUCAGCGGUCAAAGCCCGGGGCUCAACCCCUGCGCGCCGUUGAAACUGGCAUGCUUGAGUGGGAGAGAAGUAUGCGGAAUGCGCGGUGUAGCGGUGAAAUGCAUAGAUAUCACGCAGAACUCCGAUUGCGAAGGCAGCAUGCCGGCGCCACACUGACGCUGAGGCACGAAAGCGUGGGUAUCGAACAGGAUUAGAUACCCUGGUAGUC
This 459-nucleotide ribosomal RNA is filed under the name uncultured bacterium. RNAcentral's name for it is "partial 16S ribosomal RNA". It matches the Rfam family "Bacterial small subunit ribosomal RNA", at positions 338 to 795 of the family's 1533-position model. The record is from RNAcentral.